Molecule: long non-coding RNA, 1471 nt
Organism: Brassica napus (rape)
Lineage: Eukaryota; Viridiplantae; Streptophyta; Magnoliopsida; Brassicales; Brassicaceae
Exons: 2
Source: RefSeq, a predicted model, not a curated record
ACACUUUUACUUGAUCUACUUUUAGAGAAAUUUUUUUCCUUAAAAAAUAACCCCUUUUCUAUAUAUUUUUAUUUUUUAGCAAAAUGAGAUUAUAUAGUAUAACUUUCACAGUUAAAUACUAUAUUUAGUAUAUCAAUUUUUCAGUGAUGUGUUGUAGUAAUUUUGUUUUAAGAUAAUCGUUUAGUUUUAUAAAUAAUGUAUUGUAGUGGUACAUUGUUAAAAAAUGGUAUAUUUUUAAUAUUUUUAAAGUUAUAGAUGGUUGAAUAAAUUAAUAAAUAAAUAUAAAUCUAUUUAAAAUAUUUUAUUUUAGAGUAGAAAAUAUAAAUAAGCACUGAAACAAAAUUCUCUUUUAUUUUUUAGAAUAAUCUAAAAAUAAAAAUAUGAAUUUACUAAUUGUAUUUCUUUAUGGGUUUUGGGGUGGACCUCAGUACUAGUGAAUAUGGCAAAUCAUAAAUUUUAAUUUACGUUUUACCGCAAUUAAUAAUAAAAAAAUCUCUACAUAUAUCUUUUCUUUGCAAGUGAGAGGCUGUCUCGAUUCCCAAGACAGAUGACCCAAUAACUUCGCCGCCCGAAAACCACCGCGGUAAUGAAACACUUUUCUUCUUCUUCUCUCUCUCCAGUCUCCACCCAUAACUCGUUUAACCUAAAACUCGGAAAGUCUUGGCUCAUUUUUCUCUCUGGCGACUAAUUCAUCUGCUGUGAGCUCUGAUUCAUCUGCAGCAGCUCCCAAUCGACUUGUUUUCUGCCAGUAUGGUUUCGAAAUCGAAGAAUGCGGAAACGUCCGCGGGGAAGAUCGACAACCAAAGCCGCCAAACAGUCCGGCCUCCGAAAACUCAGCGGUACCCAGUUUUCGAGUCCGACAACGAUAAAAUGGGCUUCUUGAUCGACUCGACCGCACCGGGAUCUCCAUCAGUAGAGGCCGUAGGUGUGGAGGUCGGUUCUUCGUAAAAAUUGCCUACAAGACUGUUUGCUUCACAAAAAAACAAUUACGCCCUAAAUAUUUCUUCUUAUUUACAAUAGUGCCAUUAUCAUCUAUUUUCUAACCACUAUGAACUACCAUUUUUGAGCUCUAAAAGCUCAAGAAUUAAAAUUCUAACCACUUUUUCUCUCUCUCUUUCUAAACCAACAAAUCUUCAUUUCCUCGUCAUUUUCAUCUAAAAAACUCGCAUCAUUUUUAUUUUCAUAAGCAAAACUUUCAUAUUUUCGAGUUUAGUCAGUUGUGAAUCGUCAAAAGUGUCUUUUCACAUAUCCGGAGCUUGGACGGUGGAAAAGGAUGGAAACGAGCUUUACACCAGAAAAUGUAACUAUUUACAUGAUUUUCGUCAUUUUUCAGAUAUAUAUCGCGAUUGUAGACUGUUUUGUAUGUCUAUGCAUAUGUGUAGACUUACGAUGCAAUAUACUUGUCAACUCACAGGUUAAUUUUGUAAUUGACCAAAAUAAUAUUUUUUUGUAAAGAAUUUCCUUAAAAGUC